RNAcentral lists this ribosomal RNA (589 nucleotides) under Alicycliphilus denitrificans. RNAcentral's name for it is "bacterial SSU rRNA". It matches the Rfam family "Bacterial small subunit ribosomal RNA", at positions 86 to 671 of the family's 1533-position model. The record is from RNAcentral. Lineage: Bacteria; Pseudomonadati; Pseudomonadota; Betaproteobacteria; Burkholderiales; Comamonadaceae.
UGCUGACGAGUGGCGAACGGGUGAGUAAUACAUCGGAACGUGCCCGAUCGUGGGGGAUAACGAAGCGAAAGCUUUGCUAAUACCGCAUACGAUCUACGGAUGAAAGCGGGGGAUCUUCGGACCUCGCGCGGACGGAGCGGCCGAUGGCAGAUUAGGUAGUUGGUGGGAUAAAAGCUUACCAAGCCGACGAUCUGUAGCUGGUCUGAGAGGAUGAUCAGCCACACUGGGACUGAGACACGGCCCAGACUCCUACGGGAGGCAGCAGUGGGGAAUUUUGGACAAUGGGCGCAAGCCUGAUCCAGCCAUGCCGCGUGCAGGAUGAAGGCCUUCGGGUUGUAAACUGCUUUUGUACGGAACGAAAAGGUGCCUUCUAAUAAAGGGCGCUCAUGACGGUACCGUAAGAAUAAGCACCGGCUAACUACGUGCCAGCAGCCGCGGUAAUACGUAGGGUGCGAGCGUUAAUCGGAAUUACUGGGCGUAAAGCGUGCGCAGGCGGUUUUGUAAGACAGAGGUGAAAUCCCCGGGCUCAACCUGGGAACUGCCUUUGUGACUGCAAGGCUGGAGUGCGGCAGAGGGGGAUGGAAUUCCG